GACGUAGGGCGCGAGCGUUGUCCGGAUUUAUUGGGCGUAAAGAGCUCGUAGGCGGCUUGUCGCGUCGUCCGUGAAAACCCACAGCUCAACUGUGGGCUUGCGGUCGAUACGGGCAGGCUAGAGUUCGGUAGGGGAGACUGGAAUUCCGGGUGUAGCGGUGGAAUGCGUAGAGAUCCGGAGGAAUACCUGAGGCGAAGGCGGCCAGCUGGGCCUGAUCUGACGCUGAGGUGCGAAAGCGUGGGGAGCGAACAGG
RNAcentral lists this ribosomal RNA (253 nucleotides) under uncultured bacterium. RNAcentral's name for it is "partial 16S ribosomal RNA". It matches the Rfam family "Bacterial small subunit ribosomal RNA", at positions 524 to 776 of the family's 1533-position model. The record is from RNAcentral.